RNAcentral lists this ribosomal RNA (484 nucleotides) under uncultured bacterium. RNAcentral describes it as "partial 16S ribosomal RNA". It matches the Rfam family "Bacterial small subunit ribosomal RNA", at positions 30 to 507 of the family's 1533-position model. The record is from RNAcentral.
AUUGAACGCUGGCGGCAGGCCUAACACAUGCAAGUCGAGCGGAUGAAGGGAGCUUGCUCCUGGAUUCAGCGGCGGACGGGUGAGUAAUGCCUAGGAAUCUGCCUGGUAGUGGGGGAUAACGUCCGGAAACGGGCGCUAAUACCGCAUACGUCCUGAGGGAGAAAGUGGGGGAUCUUCGGACCUCACGCUAUCAGAUGAGCCUAGGUCGGAUUAGCUAGUUGGUGGGGUAAAGGCCUACCAAGGCGACGAUCCGUAACUGGUCUAAGAGGAUGAUCAGUCACACUGGAACUGAGACACGGUCCAGACUCCUACGGGAGGCAGCAGUGGGGAAUAUUGGACAAUGGGCGAAAGCCUGAUCCAGCCAUGCCGCGUGUGUGAAGAAGGUCUUCGGAUUGUAAGGCACUUUAAGUUGGGAGGAAGGGCAGUAAGUUAAUACCUUGCUGUUUUGACGUUACCAACAGAAUAAGCACCGGCUAACUUCGUG